UUGUGGAGAAGGACGCCGAAGGUGGGGCUGAUGACUGGGGUGAAGUCGUAACAAGGUAGCCGUACCGGAAGUGCGGCUGGAUCACCUCCUAACAGGGAGACAAUAAAAUUGAUUGUGAUGUCUAGGUUUUUUAUUCUUAGGCCGCAAUCCUGUCACCUUAAGGUCGAUCGGUACCUCAGAUUUUUGAAUUAAUUUCAUAUUUUUUCUUUUAUUUCAGUUCCUAAACUUGUCUAGGUCACACCCAACAAAGGUUCCUCCUGGGCCAUUAGCUCAGGUGGUUAGAGCGCACCCCUGAUAAGGGUGAGGUCCCUGGUUCAAGUCCAGGAUGGCCCAUUCGUUGUUGGGGGUAUAGCUCAGUUGGUAGAGCGCCUGCUUUGCAAGCAGGAUGUCAGCGGUUCGAGUCCGCUUACCUCCACUGAAACUAUCCUGAUAACUAAAUUCUGGAGAAUAAUUUGUAGAUGUGACUUAGAUUUGUCUAUUGAAAAGAACCUAGCUUCUUAUCAUCUUUUAUAUAGUUGAUAACAUGCUGGGCUCCCAUGGAUUAAUUUCAUGAGAAUUCAGUAGAACCUUGAAAACUGCAUAGAUUAGAAAGAAUAAAGCAUCUCAUGGAUGCAUAAUUCUGUUUAAUAGUUUAGCCUCAAAACUAAAUUAUUAAUACAUGAAUUCAUGUUUAAUUCUUGAGUAAAAGCCGAGCACAAUUGAUUUUUGAUUGUAUUUAAGGUCAAGCUACAA
RNAcentral lists this unclassified non-coding RNA (732 nucleotides) under uncultured Prochlorococcus sp. Its description in RNAcentral is "partial 16S-23S ribosomal RNA intergenic spacer; may also contain 16S ribosomal RNA and 23S ribosomal RNA". The stretch from base 343 to 415 matches the Rfam family "tRNA". The record is from RNAcentral. Lineage: Bacteria; Bacillati; Cyanobacteriota; Cyanophyceae; Synechococcales; Prochlorococcaceae.